GGCUCUGUAGCAUAACUGGAUAGUGCACCUGACUACGGAUCAGGAGGUUCGGGGUUCGAAUCCCUGCAGAGUCACGA
RNAcentral lists this transfer RNA (77 nucleotides) under Luteibaculum oceani. Its description in RNAcentral is "tRNA-Arg". It matches the Rfam family "tRNA". From Rfam's summary of the family: Transfer RNA (tRNA) molecules are approximately 80 nucleotides in length. Their secondary structure includes four short double-helical elements and three loops (D, anti-codon, and T loops). The record is from RNAcentral. Lineage: Bacteria; Pseudomonadati; Bacteroidota; Flavobacteriia; Flavobacteriales; Luteibaculaceae.